This 497-nucleotide ribosomal RNA is filed under the name uncultured bacterium. RNAcentral describes it as "partial 16S ribosomal RNA". It matches the Rfam family "Bacterial small subunit ribosomal RNA", at positions 28 to 507 of the family's 1533-position model. The record is from RNAcentral.
GAUGAACGCUGGCGGCGUGCCUAAUACAUGCAAGUCGAGCGAACGGACGAGAAGCUUGCUUCUCUGAUGUUAGCGGCGGACGGGGGAGUAACACGUGGAUAACCUACCUAUAAGACUGGGAUAACUUCGGGAAACCGGAGCUAAUACCGGAUAAUAUUUUGAACCGCAUGGUUCAAAAGUGAAAGACGGUCUUGCUGUCACUUAUGGAUGGAUCCGCGCUGCAUUAGCUAGUUGGUAAGGUAACGGCUUACCAAGGCAACGAUGCAUAGCCGACCUGAGAGGGUGAUCGGCCACACUGGAACUGAGACACGGUCCAGACUCCUACGGGAGGCAGCAGUAGGGAAUCUUCCGCAAUGGGCGAAAGCCUGACGGAGCAACGCCGCGUGAGUGAUGAAGGUCUUCGGAUCGUAAAACUCUGUUAUUAGGGAAGAACAUAUGUGUAAGUAACUGUGCACAUCUUGACGGUACCUAAUCAGAAAGCCACGGCUAACUACGUG